UUUUCUGAGAGUUUGAUCCUGGCUCAGGAUUAACGCUGGCGGCAUGCCUAAUACAUGCAAGUCGAUCGGGG
RNAcentral lists this ribosomal RNA (71 nucleotides) under Mycoplasma bradburyae. RNAcentral describes it as "partial 16S ribosomal RNA". It matches the Rfam family "Bacterial small subunit ribosomal RNA", at positions 1 to 71 of the family's 1533-position model. Lineage: Bacteria; Bacillati; Mycoplasmatota; Mollicutes; Mycoplasmatales; Mycoplasmataceae. The record is from RNAcentral.